This 301-nucleotide ribosomal RNA is filed under the name uncultured bacterium. Its description in RNAcentral is "partial 16S ribosomal RNA". It matches the Rfam family "Bacterial small subunit ribosomal RNA", at positions 509 to 807 of the family's 1533-position model. The record is from RNAcentral.
CAGCAGCCGCGGGAAUACGGAGGGAGCUAGCGUUGUUCGGAAUUACUGGGCGUAAAGCGCGCGUAGGCGGUUACUCAAGUCAGAGGUGAAAGCCCGGGGCUCAACCCCGGAACUGCCUUUGAAACUAGGUGACUAGAAUCUUGGAGAGGUCAGUGGAAUUCCGAGUGUAGAGGUGAAAUUCGUAGAUAUUCGGAAGAACACCAGUGGCGAAGGCGACUGACUGGACAAGUAUUGACGCUGAGGUGCGAAAGCGUGGGGAGCAAACAGGAUUAGAUACCCCUGUAGUCCCUGUCUCUUAUAC